GCGUUGUCCGGAAUUAUUGGGCGUAAAGAGAACGUAGGCGGUUUGCCAAGUUUGAUCUUAAAGACCGGGGCUUAACUCCGGGAGUGGAUCGAAAACUGGCAGACUAGAGGACGUCAGAGGAAAGUGGAAUUCCCAGUGUAGCGGUGAAGUGCGUAGAUAUUGGGAGGAACACCAGUGGCGAAAGCGACUUUCUGGGACGUUCCUGACGCUGAGGUUCGAAAGCUCG
Molecule: ribosomal RNA, 226 nt
Filed under: uncultured bacterium
Lineage: Bacteria
Description: partial 16S ribosomal RNA
Rfam family: Bacterial small subunit ribosomal RNA
Source: RNAcentral